GCUGUGGCUCAGUGGAAAAGCCCCUGUUUUAUUUGUAGAAGGUCCCAAGUUCAAUCCCUGGCGUCUCCA
This 69-nucleotide transfer RNA is filed under the name Sphaerodactylus townsendi. RNAcentral's name for it is "tRNA-Ile". Lineage: Eukaryota; Metazoa; Chordata; Lepidosauria; Squamata; Sphaerodactylidae. The record is from RNAcentral.